GUGGGGAAUAUUCCGCAAUGGACGAAAGUCUGACGGAGCAACGCCGCGUGAGUGAUGAAGGUUUUCGGACUGUAAAGCUCUGUUGUUUAGGACGAAAGUGCCUGUUGCGAACAGUUACAGGUAUUGACGGUACUAAACGAGGAAGCCACGGCUAACUACGUGCCAGCAGCCGCGGUAAUACGUAGGUGGCAAGCGUUGUCCGGAAUUAUUGGGCGUAAAGAGCAUGUAGGCGGAGAUUUAAGUCUGUUGUGAAAAUGCGGGGCUCAACCCCGUAUUGCGAUGGAAACUGAAUUUCUUGAGUGCAGGAGAGGAAAGGGGAAUUCCCAGUGUAGCGGUGAAAUGCGUAGAUAUUGGGAGGAACACCAGUGGCGAAGGCGCCUUUCUGGACUGUGUCUGACGCUGAGAUGCGAAAGCCAGGGUAGCGAACGGGAUUAGAUACCCCUGUAGUCC
RNAcentral lists this ribosomal RNA (450 nucleotides) under uncultured bacterium. Its description in RNAcentral is "partial 16S ribosomal RNA". It matches the Rfam family "Bacterial small subunit ribosomal RNA", at positions 354 to 796 of the family's 1533-position model. The record is from RNAcentral.